CCUACGGGUGGCAGCAGUAGGGAGUAUUGCACAAUGGGCGAAAGCCUGACGGAGCAACGCCACGUGGGCGAUGAAGGCCUUCGGGUCGUAAAGCCCUUUUCUGUGGGACGAUAAUGACGGUACCACAGGAAUAAGCCACGGCUAACUACGUGCCAGCAGCCGCGGUAAUACGUAGGUGGCUAGCGUUAUCCGGAUUCACUGGGCGUAAAGAGCGCGUAGGCGGUGUGCUAAGUUGGACGUGAAAGCCCCCGGUUUAACCGGGGGAGUUCGUCCAAUACUGGUGCACUUGAGGGUGGACGGGGAAAGCGGAAUUCCCGGUGUAGUGGUAAAAUGCGUAGAUAUCGGGAGGAACACCAGUGGCGAGGGCGGCUUUCUAGACCACUCCUGACGCUGAGGCGCGAAAGCGUGGGGAGCGAACGGGAUUAGAUACCCCUGUAGU
Molecule: ribosomal RNA, 439 nt
Filed under: uncultured bacterium
Lineage: Bacteria
Description: partial 16S ribosomal RNA
Rfam family: Bacterial small subunit ribosomal RNA
Source: RNAcentral